UGUGGGAGCGAGCCUGCUCGCGAAAAGAUCGCUGCGGUGUAUUAGAAAAAUACAUCGCCUGAAUCGCGAGCAGGCUCGCUCCCACA
This 86-nucleotide unclassified non-coding RNA is filed under the name Pseudomonas psychrophila. The record is from RNAcentral. Lineage: Bacteria; Pseudomonadati; Pseudomonadota; Gammaproteobacteria; Pseudomonadales; Pseudomonadaceae.